This 78-nucleotide microRNA precursor is filed under the name Schistosoma mansoni. Its description in RNAcentral is "mir-3492 microRNA precursor family". It matches the Rfam family "mir-3492 microRNA precursor family". Lineage: Eukaryota; Metazoa; Platyhelminthes; Trematoda; Strigeidida; Schistosomatidae. The record is from Rfam by way of RNAcentral.
AACCUUCUGUAUCCGUGCUGAGAUUUCGUCACGCACCAGACCACAAGGGCUGAUGAAACUCCCAAGAAAAGUGAAGCG